Molecule: long non-coding RNA, 1166 nt
Filed under: Bemisia tabaci
Lineage: Eukaryota; Metazoa; Arthropoda; Insecta; Hemiptera; Aleyrodidae
Description: lncRNA ENSSSA2NGG013068
Source: RNAcentral
UCGAGCUUGCUGAACAGUGUAAUAUCUCUGAAGGCUCUGUACAUACAAUUUUGAUAGAAUAUAUAGACAUGCAUCGAGUUUCAGGUACACUUGCCCCUUGAUUGUUGUCCGUUGAACAAAAAUCCAAUCAAAUGUCAAUUUCCCUAUAGCUGCUUGAACGUUCUAACAAUGAUCCUACAUUUUUGGAUAGGAUAAUUUUCGGUUAAAACACUUGAGUGUACGGCUACGAUACGGAAACGAAACUCCAAUAAUCCUUGUGGAUUGAAAAAUGUCGUGCAAGACCGAAAAAUGAGAGACAAUUUCGGUCAAGCAUAAAAAUCGCAAAACACCCAUGAGGUUGCCGCACUUGAAGCCACAUACCAACGAAGCUAAUUAAGAUUUUAAAAUCUGUGAACGAAGCGGUCUUUAGUAUAUUUUCAGCUAUCAGGAAAUAUCAAGAAAACCUUAUUCGGACGCACAGUAGGCUAGUUAUGACCAAAAUCCGGUUUCUAAUCUAACAGGCCUUGUAGGUAACAAUUUACGAAAAACGAGUUUGAAAUUGCGUUUUUUGAGUUUUCAUUUAGACGCGCUUCGCCGUGAAAGUCAAGAUGGCCCCGAGUGUAUCCAUCCCGCUGCGGGUACACUUUCGACCACCAGACCCCUGCUCUGCCAUGAUUUCUGGUCCGAGCAGUCGUUUUAAUGCACUCGAUCAAAUUUUGGUUAUCAAUUUUAUGAGAAAGCUUUACCAAACAUUCUCAUAAAUAUGUCGACGUGAUCAUUGACUCUCCAAUUUUUUCUGGGUAAAUGGAAGAGGAAAUUUUCAGAAAAACUUGUCUUUCUUGAAACAAAGCGUUGAGCCUUUACAAGCAUCAAAUAUGCUUGACCACUGUGAGCGUGUUACAACGUUGGAAAAUAUCAAAAAUUCUUUGGAAUCUCAUAAAGAUGGUGCCUCAUCAAUCUCACCACUAUCCUUUUUCUUGGUUGAAAUUUGGAAAAUGUUUGGAGUCACCGACAAGACACGCUAUGCUAAGAUUCCUGUUGCUUUUGAGGAUAUCCAAAUCUAUUCGGAACUGAACAUUAAUACGAGUGACUCGAGUAAUGUAUACUUAUCAGUCUUGCCGGGGAAAGGGAUUUUUCCGUCAUGCAGGAGACGAAACGGACGGAGUCUUCGAUCGACAGUGAAUUGA